GGGAUGUGAGUGAGGGGAGGUGAGUUUUGUGCUUUGAGUUAAAGGAGGAGUUGAGUGUAAAUGUUGUGAGGAGUUUGUUCUUGUUGAUGAGGUCGUCGGAGGUGUGCAGUGUGGCUCGACGUGGUGCACAUGAUCCUUGGUGGUGUUGUGUGUGGCUUGUCGUGGUAGUUGGUGAUGCUCCGUUGAUGGUGCUUGGUAGGUGUAGCUCGACAUGGUGUGCGUGUGCGGUUGUAGUCCGUGUGCGAUCGUAACGUCGAUAGUUAUUGAAGAGUUCACGUGUUCACACACAAGUACAUACCAGAAAAUCGAUUCUCACACAAAUUUUUUGAGCAAUCAAUGUUGCACUAUACAACAAUUUGGUUUUUGAUAUUUGAUGUGAGGGAUAGCCGAUUAGUUGCAUGCAAAAUCCAUUAUCCCUUGUUUUUGAAUAAUUAUUUUUUAUUUUUCAUUUUGAUGUAUAAUGUUGUGAUUAUUUGAUUUAUGUAUAUGGGUAAAUGUUUUUUUUGUUUGGUUAAGUAAAUAA
RNAcentral lists this long non-coding RNA (523 nucleotides) under Phaseolus vulgaris (common bean). Its description in RNAcentral is "long non-coding RNA (PVUL_LNC001871)". The record is from RNAcentral. Lineage: Eukaryota; Viridiplantae; Streptophyta; Magnoliopsida; Fabales; Fabaceae.